GCCGUUGGGGGCGCGCGCGGACGGUGCGGGGGCCGUUGGACGGUGUGAGGGCCGGUGGUGGCCGUGGCGGCCUGUCAUCCGGCCCCGGCUCCUCACCCGGCCCUGGCCUGUCACCCGCCCGGCGGGGAAGCCGGCAGGGCUUCUCCCGGGAAGCGGCACGCAGUGGGGAGCGCGCCUCCGAGCGGUGCAGGGGCCAGCUGUGAGGGAGGCGGCCACGAAGCGGGUCUUACUGGUUUCUCAGCUUCCAGCUUUUCCCUGGUUUUCACUUCAAGAUCUGCAACUAUGGUGGUGAUAAAAAUAAAUAUUAGUUACUCUGCCAUUACUGCACUGUGAACAGCAGGAGCUGGAGAGGAACGGGAGCCCUCUGUCCAACCCUGAGGAACUACUGACCACUUGGACCAUGACCUGGGAAGAGGGGACACAGCCCACACUUCUUCCCUUCCACAAACAGGCCCACGAAUGGUCGUGGAAGAGAGCGAUACCUUACUCUGGUUGGUACUUCCUGGAAAGGAAAAACACGACAAGCACUGAAAGAGCCUUCCAAGAACAGCAAAGAGAAAACACCCAACCAACUUUAGGACAGUUUGGUCAAGCUGUGAACAGAAUUAGUGUGACAGGUCAGAGUGCUACUGAGCAUGCCAGUGCAGGAAGUCCUUUCUAGUCUAGUAUCAAUUUUCACAUAAUCAAGAAAAACAUAAAAUUCAGUUUCCCUCUCAUUCAGCAAAAAACGGCUAAAGCAGAAGGAUCACUGUAGUUCAUGCAACAGAAGGAACUGAGUCUUUCCAGAAGUAAACAUCCCCUUCCCCUAAAAUAUGGUAAUCAAGUUUCCUACAUAAACCUGUAUAAACAAACCUGCAAGAUAUGUCUAAAACAGGAUGGGAAGAAAUAAAUUCCAGUGCUUUAUACAAGUAGAGAAGUGUCUUAACCUGGUUUUCUUAGGAAAGAAACUAAUGCUAGCAUAGUACCAUCGCUGCUUUUUGACUGAUUUUGACCAGUGGAUGUUGUCUACCUCGACU
Long non-coding RNA from Grus americana (Whooping crane), 1016 nucleotides. RefSeq lists it as uncharacterized. The record is from RefSeq and is a predicted model, not a curated record. Lineage: Eukaryota; Metazoa; Chordata; Aves; Gruiformes; Gruidae. The transcript is spliced from 3 exons.